This is a non-coding RNA of Podarcis lilfordi (Lilford's wall lizard), 320 nucleotides long. The record is from the annotation of a GenBank genome assembly. Lineage: Eukaryota; Metazoa; Chordata; Lepidosauria; Squamata; Lacertidae.
GUUCAUUCAAUGGGCCCUGUUUAAAAUGUUCUGUAAAGAAACUAUUACAAAGGUUUGGCUGUUUUUCUUUUCAGAAUGGUGAAAGAUGGCCCCCAGCAAGCGAGGCAAAAGACAAUACAGCUACAAAAGCCGUUGGGCUAGGCUCCCUGACCACCAUGUUGGCGCUGGCCCCAUUGCUUUCAGAAUCAGCCCACAGAUAGAGGAAAAGAAUUAAAACCUAGGCACUUUAAAAUUACUCUGUUCCAGUGUGAAAUAUACUGGGAGUCCUGCAGUGAUUUCAUGCUCUUUAUUGCAGCUUAUAAAACAGUGAUUAAAUUUCC